RNAcentral lists this ribosomal RNA (417 nucleotides) under uncultured bacterium. Its description in RNAcentral is "bacterial SSU rRNA". It matches the Rfam family "Bacterial small subunit ribosomal RNA", at positions 362 to 777 of the family's 1533-position model. The record is from RNAcentral.
UAUUGGUCAAUGGCCGAGAGGCUGAACCAGCCAAGUCGCGUGAGGGAUGACUGCCCUAUGGGUUGUAAACCUCUUUUAUAAGGGAAGAAUAAUUACCACGUGUGAUAUGAUGCCUGUACCUUAUGAAUAAGCAUCGGCUAACUCCGUGCCAGCAGCCGCGGUAAUACGGAGGAUGCGAGCGUUAUCCGGAUUUAUUGGGUUUAAAGGGUGCGUAGGCGGCAUGUUAAGUUAGUGGUAAAAUGUCGGAGCUAAACUCCGGAUCGCCAUUAAUACUGUCAUGCUCGAGUACAGACGAGGUAGGCGGAAUAAGUUAAGUAGCGGUGAAAUGCAUAGAUAUAACUUAGAACUCCGAUCGCGAAGGCAGCUUACCAGACUGUAACUGACGCUGAAGCACGAGAGCGUGGGUAGCAAACAGGA